GAUUUCCGGGGUGAAAGCUUUCCUUUUGUCCCUCCCAGAUGAAGAAGCGCUUUGACUCUAAAAAAGCUCAUGUCCCAACAUUUUUGUUGGCCUCCACAGAGCUACUGGACUUGAAUCUAACUCUUUUACCGCAUACCAACACAGCUACCCUCUGAAAUUAUUUUCAUUGCUAAACAAGAAUUUGAAAAAGAGUCUUUCUAUUUCAGGUCCAGUGUUUGAACACCACUAUGCAAUUAAUGACAACAUCACCGGCCACAAAAAUAUCAUUGUAGAGUUACUCUUCUACUGCAGACUGACAUAGCUACUCUCCUUAGAGUCAGGUUUGAUUCCCCAUCUCCCCAUAGAGUGGCAGACCCUGAUCUGAUAAACUGGAGUUGACUCCCCACUCCUACAAAUGAAGCCUGCUGGGUUACCUUGGGCUACUCACAGUUCUCUCAGGACUCUCUCAGUCUCACCUACCUUGUGGGGAGAAGAAGGAAAAGUUUGUCUAUUGUGGGGAGAAGAAGGAAACGUUUGUAAGCCACACAUAGAGAUUUCUUUCAGGAGAGAAAGGUGGGGUAUAAAUCCAAACUCUUCUUCUUUUGAAACCAUUUCAUAAACUAUAGUUCUAUUCUCCAAACUAUGUUAUUAUUUGAGGGUUACAAAAGCCUGGGGGAGAAAAGAGCAGUAAACUGGAUUAGUGGGACAUGUGAAGUUGAAAUACCCAAGGGUCAGACCAUCUGCUUUCAUAACUGCUUGCUCUGCCUAUCAGCUGCUCUCCAGCUUCUCUGGUAGAGAGAAGCACUUCCCAACAUUCAAGACCCUUUUCAACAGGAGCUACCUGAUCUGGAUAGCCCAGCUUUGACCUGAAUGGCCCAGACUGGCAUGAUCUCAUCAAAUCUCAGAAGUUAAGUAGGGUCAGUCCUAGUUAGUACAUGGGUGAGAGACCAUCAAGGAAGUCCAGGGUCAUGACCCAGUGAUAGUUUCAUGUAGGUGUUAAGGCUCAGGCCUGAGAAGACUCAUCUGGCUCUGUGUGGAACUAGAUCUGAAUACAUUUGGGCUUUAUAGUUUAUAUUGUAAACUCCAAGAAGGGGGCACAUGCCCUCUUCUCUGAGUACGUCACUCUGUCAAAUACAUGACGGUGCUGAAUUAGGCAUAAUAACAGCUAAUGUUUCCUGGCUGUCUUGUGAGUUGUUUGUAUUCUUUUGCCAUGAUUAUUUCGUUGCAGCAGGAUGCCUUCCCCCUUUGCUGUACAGCGAUCCUGUUCUAGCAUCAGCAGUGUGAUAAGGGGGCAAAUUUUGAUGCAGGGAGGGAGACCCCUGUUUCCUGUUUCCUUCCUAAUUCCUAAACCCUUUUUUCCUCAAGCCCCAGAGAUCACACAAGUGAAACUGGCAAACCACCCACAUAGCUGUUAAUUAUUGCUCGCUUGCAGAAAAGGAGGAGGUUUCUCAUGCAGAAUUCAGGGCGGGGUCCCCAACCUUUUGGAGCCUGUGCGUACCUUUGGCAUGUUGAGAGGGGGUGCUGAGAAAUGGAAUACUAUCUUCCUGACACCUGGGCAGUCUUUAAAAAAUAAUAUUGCUUCUAAUACUUUAAGGAAUUAAAGGCAACACAUUGCUUUGAAUUAUGAGCUGUGUUCUUUGACCAGUAGUAUUCUGUAUUUAAAACUAGUGCAAUAAAUAACGCAAAAAGUUUUA
Molecule: long non-coding RNA, 1673 nt
Organism: Sphaerodactylus townsendi
Lineage: Eukaryota; Metazoa; Chordata; Lepidosauria; Squamata; Sphaerodactylidae
Exons: 2
Source: RefSeq, a predicted model, not a curated record